RNAcentral lists this long non-coding RNA (214 nucleotides) under Elaeis guineensis (African oil palm). RNAcentral describes it as "long non-coding RNA (EGUI_LNC017729)". The record is from RNAcentral. Lineage: Eukaryota; Viridiplantae; Streptophyta; Magnoliopsida; Arecales; Arecaceae.
UGGCAUUUGAAUUAUUAAUCAAUUCAUUUUAUUAAAAAAAAUGUUAAUUAAUUACCAGCAAAGAAAGAACAUGAUAAUUAAUAUUUAUUAAAAAAAAAAGACCUGCCUCCUUUGCAUUUGAAUCAAGCCGGUAUACAAGAAAUGCAUAAAAAUGGGCAUUUUUGUUAUUACCAUUACCAUACUAGACCUAUACGUUAGCUUCUAAUCAUUCCCC